Molecule: long non-coding RNA, 728 nt
Filed under: Homo sapiens (human)
Lineage: Eukaryota; Metazoa; Chordata; Mammalia; Primates; Hominidae
Description: long non-coding RNA NONHSAT241218
Source: RNAcentral
AAGAAUUAAACAAGUAAAUGCAUGUCAAAUACAGCAUAGUGCUUUUAAUGUAUUGUAGCUAUGAGUAUUAUUCAUUUUGUUGGCACUUUUUCAAAUUAGCUUAGGUUCAUGGCAGAACCUAGCUAUAAGUUGGCCCGCACCUUGAUCUGUUAUUUGAAUGGAUUGGCCAAGGUCGAAGACAAGGACAAGAGCAACACUCUGACUUUUGUUCUUCCCUAUUGUAUAAGUUAGGUGUAACGAGAAGAGAUCCUCAGCAGAACACUCAGAAUGAUGAGAGGAGAUCUGAGACCUGUGGGGAAAACAACCACAACAAACAUCCAUUCAUCACCAUUUUCUCAGCACCAUUGUGGGGAGUCCUACCCAUGGCUACAGAGGAAUGGCCCAAGAUGGAAGCCUGGCCUGGCAAUGCCUUCAGUUACCAGAAGGAUGUUACUAUACAUAGUGGCAAAGUUGCAAGGCCCUUCAGGUCGCCAACACUCCUCCUAAUUUCAAAGAAAUUACCAGCAGGUAAUUUCAAAGAAAAGGGAAUAGAGGCCCUGAAAGGUGAGGAGACUUAAAUAAUACUAUGUCAGAUUCAGGACAGAGCAAGAGUUGGAUACGAAGAAAUGGGCUUCCUCUAUUGCGGGAAAGAUAAGAGAGUUCAGUUACACAGCAGGAAAUCUGACCCCAGAGACUGACCAGAAUAGAGAACUAAGGGCAUGACACCCUCAGCCCUGUAAAGUUGUAGA